RNAcentral lists this long non-coding RNA (1384 nucleotides) under Mytilus galloprovincialis (Mediterranean mussel). Lineage: Eukaryota; Metazoa; Mollusca; Bivalvia; Mytilida; Mytilidae. The record is from RNAcentral.
CGGAGGCGGCGAUGGUCAAAGAUAUACAACCGAAACUUGUAUUUCCUGCUAAAUCACUUUUAUAAUUAUAUUUCCUGUCAAAUCAUUCAUAACUGGUUGCUAUCUAUUUUAUAUGUAUCAACAUGGACAAUAAACAGAAUGUUAUAGUGAUAAACAUAUUCCUUUUAUGUAAGUUUUAAUUCUAUAAUACUUUGAUUUAAGAAAUAAAUUGCUAGAUAUUCCUUAAUAUCUGGAAAUAUAUUGUUCUUGGUAACAUUUGUUGUAAGUUGAUAUGAGUGAGUUUAGUGUAAAACAAUAUCUUAUUUAAAAAAGUUAAUGAAUUGAAUUGGAUUGUGCAACAGGCUAAACCACACCAUUAUGUCCACUAAAUUGCAUUCAGACGACAUAAUUUUUACAUUAUGAUACCACAGAAUAAUUCAUUUUAAAACUUCCUCAUAAUUGACUGGUAGGAUGCUUCAAUUAAAACCUUUUUUGGCACAUUUGAGAUCCAUAAAUGUUUAGUAAGCUAUGAGUGAGUGUUGCUUAUGAUGACAAAUUAACAAAAAUCCUUCAUCUUUCCACGAAUAUAUGAGUUCCCCAAUUGCUUCUUAUUUCCUCAUGAUUACAUGACAUAACUUAAAAGCAAAACGACGGACACUUAUAGUGACACAGGAACUACCAAACUUUCCGUUAUUCCUCUCGUGGUUAAAUAGGGUUCUAAUUUUCCAAUCUUUAGUCAUUUGUAUUGAGUUUCAUAAACUUUUAAACUUUUGUUUUUUCUUUAUUUCAAUAUUUUUUAAAGAGAAGAUGUUUAAAAAAAAAAAGUAAAAGCACAAAUAUAUACAGAACUUCGAGGAAAAAUUCUAAAAGGAAAGUCCCUAAUCAAAUGACAAAAUGAAAAGCUCAAACACAUCAAACGAAUGGAUAACAACUGUCAUAUUCCUGACUUGGUACAGGCCGAUUUCUAAUGUAGAAAUGGUCGAUUAAACCUGGUUUUAAAGAUAGCUAAACCUCUCACUUGUAUGACAGUCGCAUCAAAUUCCAUUAUAUUGACAACGAGGUGUUAACAAAACAAACAGACAUAAUAGGUAAAAAUGCCAUAAGUAGGGAUACAGCAGUCAACAUUGUGUUAUAAUCUUAAUCUGUUAAUUUUGCAAUACAAGUUAUCCAGAAGAAGUUUCGCUUCAUUAUUUCUACAGUAUUCAACAAUAACUCUGUUUUCAUAACAAAAUAAUUGAAUAAUUAUAACAACAAAAUACCCAAUGUAAACCUCAUACAAGAACCUAAUUUAUUUAUCAUGCAGGUUUCCUUUGCUUCGGAAACAUAUUUUGUAACUAUGUAUGCAAUACCAAGACAGAAUGUAGCAAUACAGCUGGAGAUGGCGUGUGUGAUGUAAGUACAAAAU